RNAcentral lists this ribosomal RNA (856 nucleotides) under uncultured bacterium. Its description in RNAcentral is "bacterial SSU rRNA". It matches the Rfam family "Bacterial small subunit ribosomal RNA", at positions 21 to 863 of the family's 1533-position model. The record is from RNAcentral.
GGCUCAGGACGAACGCUGGCGGCGCGCUUAACACAUGCAAGUCGAGCGAGAACCAAGCCUUCGGGCUUGGGGACAGCGGCGAACGGGUGAGUAACACGUGGGUAAUCAACCCUUGACACUGGGAUAGCCCGGGGAAACCCGGAUUAAUACCGGAUACCCCAUCUGGCCUUCGGGCCGGCUGGAAAAGGUAGCUUCGGCCUCCGGUCAGGGACGAGCCCGCGGCGGAUUAGCUUGUUGGCGGGGUAAAAGCCCACCAAGGCGACGAUCCGUAGCUGGUCUGAGAGGACGAUCAGCCACACUGGGACUGAGACACGGCCCAGACUCCUACGGGAGGCAGCAGUGGGGAAUCUUGCGCAAUGGGCGAAAGCCUGACGCAGCGACGCCGCGUGAGGGAAGAAGGCCUUCGGGUUGUAAACCUCUUUCAGGAGGGACGAAGCCACUCGGGUUAAUAGCCCAGAGGGUGACGGUACCUCCAGAAGAAGCCCCGGCUAACUACGUGCCAGCAGCCGCGGUAAUACGUAGGGGGCAAGCGUUGUCCGGAUUUAUUGGGCGUAAAGAGCGUGUAGGCGGCCAUACAGGUCAGCUGUGAAAACUCGGGGCUCAACCCCGAGACGUCGGUUGAAACCGUAUGGCUAGAGUCCGGAAGAGGAGAGUGGAAUUCCCGGUGUAGCGGUGAAAUGCGCAGAUAUCGGGAAGAACACCUAUGGCGAAGGCAGCUCUCUGGGACGGUACUGACGCUGAGACGCGAAAGCGUGGGGAGCGAACAGGAUUAGAUACCCUGGUAGUCCACGCCGUAAACGAUGGGAACUAGGUGUGGCGGGUGUCGACUCCCGCUGUGCCGAAGCUAACGCAUUAA